CAUGGCAAUAAUAUCAAAGUUGAGGAUAUUUUAGUCUUUUCGGCUAAUUGCCUAUUGUAAUUUGACGUGUCUUUUAACCAAUUUUCCAUGUUUGUAGCCUGCCCUCAUUUUCUGGGUUGUUCCUUCUGCAUCUCGCUAUCCCCUUCCUUGUCUCUCUCUCUCUACUUCUCUAGAAGAUUAACACUCAUCUUCAUCGUGUGCUCUUCCUCAAAGCUGUUGUUGCGCUUGGAUUGGCUCUAUUAUCAUCUCCAUUGUUCAUUAUUUGUGAUUUCUCUGUUAAAUGGGUUACAUUGGCAAUAGAUUAGGGAAUUAGGGCUCUAAGUUUCUAGCUUCCGAACUUUCCAAGAAAUGAGGAAAAAGAGUGGUGUUGGAUAUGAAUUCAUGCCUUUGUGUCUCCCAACGUGCUAUAAGAAUUUGAAGAGCUCUGACCUUUGAGCAAGAACAAAAAUGUGAAUAAUUGAGAUUCCUGGUGGACAAAGAUGAUCAUGGGACUCUGCUUCAAAUAUUCACCAAGCCUGCAGUUGACUUGUAUAUUUAUUCA
Molecule: long non-coding RNA, 541 nt
Organism: Lycium ferocissimum
Lineage: Eukaryota; Viridiplantae; Streptophyta; Magnoliopsida; Solanales; Solanaceae
Exons: 2
Source: RefSeq, a predicted model, not a curated record